UUUUUUUUUUUUUUUGUAAAUGUUUAUUACGUAGGUUUUACUUCUUUUUUUACUCAGGUUCUAUUUUCCUUAUUGCUUAAGGUAAUAAUUAAACACAGAGCAAUUCAUGAAUCAAAGGUCACUCGAAUUGCUAGUUUAAUGGUGAAUAGGUAAUGAUAGAGUUUAUGGAUAUGAAGAAAUAUUAGCUGGAUACUGUAAGUGUCAGAGUAAUUUAUAAUGUUACAUUAGAUGUGAUACUUCUGUCAUCUGUCUGCAGAAGCUGUCGAAGCAAGAAAACAAAAAUCAGCAGUGAGAUGAGAGUGGGUCCCUAAAAGAAAUACCUUAAAUGACAUCUGCAAAUCUAUUCUGUGAUAAUGCUUGAAAAUUUAUAUAUAAAAAUCUCUGGCGGUCCACACUGGCCAGUGUCAUCUUGCUUAUUUUGUUAUUUUUUAUGCUGCUGUUCAUUUGAGUUACAGAUAGUCUAUGAUGGUUGGCAGCAGUUAGCAAUAGUGUAGAAAGGGAUGUAAUAUGCUACUUAUCUUUAUUAAUAAAGGCUUCUGUAAAAUCCAAAAUUGUGUUAAAAAUUCCCAGCCAAGUCACUAUCCAUAGGAAUGAAGUUCAUCCUUUUUUGAGUUUAUUUAAUCUGAUUAAACUUUUCAUGCUUUAGUAUCUGCGUGCAUAUUUCCAUGUGCAGUGGAUGCAUAUGCCAUGUGCAGGAUAUAAGCCCCAUUUUUAAGCUUAGAGUUGCUGAGAAGCAAACCUCUGGUUUGCAGGAGCGCAUAGCAGAUGCCAUUCACUUGUGCACAUCUGACUUUAGUGCUGGAAAGACUCGACUCUGUCUCAGAAUGGACGGAACAUUAUUCAUCUUUGUGUCAGAGAGACCUUGUCCCGACUUAGGGUGAAGCUAUUUUGCGCAAGCACAUUAAAACAAAUAAAUAAAUAAAGGAUCUCUCAUCCUACUUAAAAUAUUUAGAGGUAGGAAUGACGGGAUUAAAAGACAUUGUGAUUUCCCAAGAUCUGGCAUAAAGUUUGUGUCAGAAUGAAACACUGAAGACAGAUGACAUAUUGAUAGCUCCUUAUACUUCAGCAUCACAACAGCAUAUGAAUAGCAAGAAAACAUUUUCAGGAAAGGCAAGAUAAGUCCCUACAAAACUUUAGGGCUAUAAAAAAAGGCAAAAAGUUUUUAAGCUUUCUGGACAGUGCAUAGGGAAAGAUACGCUUUUCCAAAUGAAAUCCACAUCAGGCAGCAGAAUGAGCAGGUAGCUGCCAGAAGCCAACAUUUGUCCAGUUAGAGAUGGGUUAGGUGAGGGGAAGUGCUGAGAUGAGGAGCUGGUUUUAAAACUUGAAUCUCAGAACUUCACAGACACCCCCUUGAAAUCAGCAGCCUGAGAUACUGUCUUGCUAAUAGGUAUGUAUUUAGGCUGUCUGAAAAGCAAUGGUUUCUUUUUUCAAAAUAAUUGAGUGGUUGCUUUGGGGUUGUUUUUUUCAGUGUGCGGCUGCAGUUCUGAAUUAGCACUUUCAGACAGUGAGUCAUUCUGUUCUCAGCAUACAGGUGACUAAAUUCUGCUUGAAUCCCUUCAGACACAUAAGCAGGGAUGGGGUGCAGGAAAAUUUUGGGUGGAAGUUCACUCUUAAUGCUUGAAGUGCACCUUUUCUCAUCUUAAAGGAAAGCCAUAAGAGUAAGUCAAAGUUCCAUAUCCUUGUCUUAGGUUGUUUUCUAUUUCUUGUGCAGUCCUGAGGGAAAAAAAAGCACUGGUUGCUAAAGCAUUUUCUGCCAAUAGGGAGGCUAUGGGCAGCUUAAGGAGUCUGUAUAAGUGAUUUAUCUUUAAUUUUGUGAGCUGGCAAUUCUAUUUAUUUGAAAGAAUAAAGUAACACGGUGUUAACUUUACAGUAAACUGGGAGCUGCUGCUGAAAGUUGCCAGUUGAGCAGUGGUCCAGUGAGCCCAGUAAUUCAGAAGGUAAUUGUUCUGGGUUUUCCAACAGCUAGACUCAUGUUAGUCUUGUGGGCAAUUAUCCAUCCAAAUCAAUUCUUAUUUUGCAUAUAGUUCACAAAAAAAUGAAAAAGAUAUAAACAGAGGCAGUGAAAUACCUGACCAGUAGGUGGAAAAUAGUAAGAAACCUCAGAACAUCAGUAUAUUCAG
This 2120-nucleotide long non-coding RNA is filed under the name Strigops habroptila (Kakapo). Its description in RNAcentral is "lncRNA (ENSSHBG00005008155.1)". Lineage: Eukaryota; Metazoa; Chordata; Aves; Psittaciformes; Psittacidae. The record is from RNAcentral.